UACGUAGGGUGCGAGCGUUAAUCGGAAUUACUGGGCGUAAAGCGUGCGCAGGCGGCUUUGCAAGACAGAUGUGAAAUCCCCGGGCUCAACCUGGGAACUGCAUUGGUGACUGCAAGGCUAGAGUACGGCAGAGGGGGAUGGAAUUCCGCGUGUAGCAGUGAAAUGCGUAGAUAUGCGGAGGAACACCAAUGGCGAAGGCAAUCCCCUGGGCCUGUACUGACGCUCAUGCACGAAAGCGUGGGGAGCAAACAGG
Molecule: ribosomal RNA, 253 nt
Filed under: uncultured bacterium
Lineage: Bacteria
Description: partial 16S ribosomal RNA
Rfam family: Bacterial small subunit ribosomal RNA
Source: RNAcentral